Molecule: long non-coding RNA, 1497 nt
Filed under: Mustela putorius furo (domestic ferret)
Lineage: Eukaryota; Metazoa; Chordata; Mammalia; Carnivora; Mustelidae
Description: lncRNA (ENSMPUG00000026050.1)
Source: RNAcentral
AUGCAGUGGCCAUCCCUCAGUUCUUGCUCCCUAUCACCACCCGGAACAGUGCCUUGCUCAUCAGCAUGUGAAGGAGACGCCUCCCUGGGAGCGAGAAGUGACCUUGGAAGUUAUCUACUCCAGUACCUCCUCAGACAUCAGAGGGGGUGUGAAUCAGAAUGUGAUCAUGUCAAGAGGAAGCUUUGGAUUCAGACGGUCCUGGCCCAGACCCUGCAUUUCUUACAUGCCCCCCAGCGAUGCUGAUGCCGCUGAUCCCUGAACCAUACGUUAAGUGAAAAGAUUCGAGGCCAGCCAUUCUCAGCCCCUGCUCUACGUUACUUUCACUUGGUGAGCUUUUGAAAAAGAAGAUAGUCUGGGCUUCACUCCCAGAUAUUAUCAUUUAAUUGGUCAGGAUACAGCCAGGCUUCAUUUGGCUAAAAUCUCUUCAGGUGAUUCUACUGAAGAAUAUAGCAACUACUGAAAACUAUAGCUGUGCUCAAAUAUCGUGUUACAUCUUUCUCAUUGACACUUCUCAGAAAGAGGGGCGCCUGGGUGGCUCAGUCAUUAAGCCUCUGCCCUCAGCUCAGGUCAUGAUCCUGGGGUCCUGGGAUGGAGCCCCGCAUAGGGCUUCCUGCUCAGCAGAAAGCCUGCUUCUCCCUUUCCGUCUCCCCUGGGUUAUGUUCCCUCUUGCUGUCUCUCUCUGUCAAAUAAAUGAAGAAAAUCUUAAAAAGAAAGGAAGGAAGGAAGGAAGGCAGGAAGGAAGGAAGGAAGGAAGGAUCUCAUAGAAAGAAAUCCUACCUUCACUGCCCUACCUGUCCCUCCAGUUGACCUGGGAUUGAACUUCCUAUUGUGAGAACAUUAAUUCCUGUAAUAUAAUAAGAAACAGUAUCAUUGAGCACAUUGAGUAUAUACUAUUGAUAGACAACAUUGUAAUUACGUUACACUUAAAUCUUACUGUUUCUCAUGAGAUAGACACUAUUAUCACCAUCCUUAUCUUUUUUAUAGAUGUGAAAACUGAAGCACAGAGAGGUAAAGUAACUUGCUGCAGGUCACACAGCUAGUGAGCGGCAGAACCAAGAUUGGAAUUCAGGAAGUCUGGGUCCAGAGCCAGAUCUCUUAACCAUUACAUCGUUCAACCUCCCUCUGCAGUGCCAUGGCUAGCAGCAGUGCUGGGCAAAGAUGAAGGAAAUAUGCUCUUUUCAAUUACGAACUUUUUUACUGAUAUGCUAAUUUUUAGUCUUUCUGUUGUUUUAUAAAAGUGCACAUUUAAAAAAAGAGAUUUAUCUAUUCAUUUGAAAGACAGAGAUAAUGUACAUGUGAGGUGGAGAGGGGCAGAGGGAGAAGGAGAGGGAAAGGAUCUUCAAGCAGACUCCCUACGGAGUGUGGAGCCUGAUAUGGGGCUCGAUCCCAUGACCCUGAGACCACAACCUGAACCAAAACCGAGAGCCAGGGGCCUCACCAACUGAGCCACCCCAGCAUUGCUUUUAUGGAUCAAGUUCAUUUCACUUUCAUAGUCAC